GGAGAAUCUUUCUCUCCCUACACGUUACUCCCACCCCUUGGUGCAAACGCCACUAACCCUAAGAGCCCUCGGGUUUGCCUUUGCCUUGAGCGAGAGUCCGCAGCAGGCAGGUUAUUAGAUGGCUCCAGGUGGUCAGCAUAAUUCAACCUGCAUAACAUAAAAUUAUCUACGGGACAUGUAGAAUAUUAAAUAAAAUGCAGCAGUCACACUCGAACCUCACCCUGAAACCUUCCGCUUUGGAAUACUAGCUGAAUACUGUGAGCAUUGGAUUCAAAAAGAGAUCAUGAAGUUGGAAGGAAGGAUUUGAACUGACACAGAAGGUUGCUCUGAUAUUCAUCCAAAACCAUGGUGAGGAUUCUUCCUGCCAGAGGUAAGGCACAUUGGCACACUAAU
Dermochelys coriacea (leatherback sea turtle) is the source of this 393-nucleotide long non-coding RNA. RefSeq lists it as uncharacterized. The transcript is spliced from 3 exons. The record is from RefSeq and is a predicted model, not a curated record. NCBI's taxonomy places the organism in Eukaryota, Metazoa, Chordata, Testudines, Dermochelyidae.